AGAGCCCCCAAUACCCGAAAAUGCGCACAAACACACAUGCCAGCAAGGAAAAGACCAACGACAACUCUUCAUAUAUGCAAUCUUCUUGCUUGGCGGACUCCGAAUUAGUCAAAGAAAACCGACAACCGUCUUUCUUCAAAAGAUAUGUCAAACUCCCUCAGGUAUUCGAAGAGGCGCCAGGACACUGCGGUCAUUGCGGCAGGAGCGCAAGCAACAACAUACGACGUCUUGCUAUCUUAUUGAAAAGCCAUACGCAUUCCCGCAGUGUGGCUUUUGCGCAGAAACUUUAAGACAUCGAAAAUGCCCGAAACCAUGUAUGAAAAACACUCGCCUAGUGCCUCUGUGC
RNAcentral lists this long non-coding RNA (346 nucleotides) under Drosophila guanche. The record is from RNAcentral. Lineage: Eukaryota; Metazoa; Arthropoda; Insecta; Diptera; Drosophilidae.